GAUGAACGCUGGCGGCGUGCCUAAUACAUGCAAGUCGAGCGAACAGACGAGGAGCUUGCUCCUCUGACGUUAGCGGCGGACGGGUGAGUAACACGUGGAUAACCUACCUAUAAGACUGGGAUAACUUCGGGAAACCGGAGCUAAUACCGGAUAAUAUAUUGAACCGCAUGGUUCAAUAGUGAAAGACGGUUUUGCUGUCACUUAUAGAUGGAUCCGCGCCGCAUUAGCUAGUUGGUAAGGUAACGGCUUACCAAGGCAACGAUGCGUAGCCGACCUGAGAGGGUGAUCGGCCACACUGGAACUGAGACACGGUCCAGACUCCUACGGGAGGCAGCAGUAGGGAAUUUUCCGCAAUGGGCGAAAGCCUGACGGAGCAACGCCGCGUGAGUGAUGAAGGUCUUCGGAUCGUAAAACUCUGUUAUUAGGGAAGAACAAAUGUGUAAGUAACUAUGCACGUCUGGACGGUACCUAAUAAGAAAGCCACGGCUAACUACGU
RNAcentral lists this ribosomal RNA (496 nucleotides) under uncultured bacterium. RNAcentral's name for it is "partial 16S ribosomal RNA". It matches the Rfam family "Bacterial small subunit ribosomal RNA", at positions 28 to 506 of the family's 1533-position model. The record is from RNAcentral.